UUUUUUUUUUAAUAUUUAUUUUUCAGUUUUUGGGGGACACAACAUCUUUGUUUGUAUGUGGUGCUGAGGAUCGAAUCCGGGCCGCACGGCCGCUCGCUUGCCAGGCGAGCGCGCUACCGCUUGAGCCACAUCCCCAGCCCAGUCGCAGGAUUUUCUCAAGCAAAUCGCUCACAUCUCUGCGCCUCUGCCCUCCUGUAAAAUGGGACAAACAACGCUUGCCAGUUCGUUACUGUUCCAUACGUGCCAUGGCUCUUCAUCUUGCACCCUCAAAACCUAGCUGUUAAGACCCUGGGUGGGAUCCCCAGCAUCACUGAUACAAAACACACGAUUAGAUCAAGUGGAGUUAUGUCAUUUGUGGGGGACAGGGAUGGAACCCAAGGCCUGUACCAGUAAGUUACACCCCCCAGCCCUUGCAUUUUGUACUCAAGGAAGUUAAGAGAAAGGGAGGCCCACUGUCGAACUCAGCGCUGGGGCCAGCUGGACCUCAGGGCCAGAUGCAGGGGGGAACCUGGAG
RNAcentral lists this long non-coding RNA (514 nucleotides) under Marmota monax (woodchuck). Lineage: Eukaryota; Metazoa; Chordata; Mammalia; Rodentia; Sciuridae. The record is from RNAcentral.